CGGAAGGGUCUGAGCACCCUUCUGAAGUGUUUUAAAAGCCACGRUAUCCCUCACGAGGGCCGUUGAUCCAGGUGAACGCUGCAGGCUGUUGAGAAAGAACUAAACGCAGAAAUAUUUACCACCUUGUUGCUUUCUCUUCCUACCAGGAACCACUCCAUCCCAGCUGAAAAACACGCCAGUGGCUGGAGGGUAUCAGGGUACAUCCACGGGAACGCGUACGGACAGCCYGUGCCCGGACCCCUGGCUGCAGCCGCGAGAGGGACGAGCGGGGCUCCCCGGCUGAUCUGCCUAGUACGGUGGAGCUGUGCUAACACCUGCUGCACGGGGAUUAAAGUAUCAGGUCCUCGCCCUGCGCUGAGCUCAGGCACGGAGGAGUUGCCCUUUGAUCCUUAUCAGGCCGAGCAGAUGACAGCUCCGAGUCAGGUAGGAUGUUGCCCUCCGAUUCAAGCGCCUGUGUUGCCAUCCGCUGUGCGCUCACGCUCUCGUGCCGGGGAAGGCACCGGGGAAGGCGCGCAAGGGGUUAAGGCUGGCUCAGCGGUGACUCACGGUGCAGGACUGUGCUAUCUGGCUAGGUGUGUAGGCACACACCAGGUCCCAGCAGAUAGGAUCGCUUACCUGGAAGCAGCAUUCCAGCGCCCGGCGAUAAGGCRGUGGGGAGCGGGCGGCCCGGCCUGACUCACGCUUCUUCCGCGCCCGGCGCAGCCCCUGCUACGCACCAGCGCAGGUGAAGCCGGUAGCGACCCAGCCCGAGCCCGGUGCGUGCGUGUGCGCGGCGGCCCUCUGCGUGCGUGUGCGGGGCGGCCCUCGGGGGCGCUGGCUCAGCACCAGGCUCUUGCUGGCGAGUGGCAGGCGCUCGCGGUAAAUAGGAGUUGGGCAGCGCGGCUGCCGGACCCAGCACCGUGAGCCAGGGCAGGGCAGGUGCUGUGGGUCGCUGUCCCGGACUGUGCCCCAGAGCUCGACAGCGCACGCGAAUUAGUACGGGAAUGUACGUUCCCGUCUACAGCCGCCU
RNAcentral lists this long non-coding RNA (1009 nucleotides) under Dromaius novaehollandiae (emu). Its description in RNAcentral is "lncRNA (ENSDNVG00000015738.1)". Lineage: Eukaryota; Metazoa; Chordata; Aves; Casuariiformes; Dromaiidae. The record is from RNAcentral.